This 464-nucleotide ribosomal RNA is filed under the name uncultured bacterium. RNAcentral describes it as "partial 16S ribosomal RNA". It matches the Rfam family "Bacterial small subunit ribosomal RNA", at positions 338 to 795 of the family's 1533-position model. The record is from RNAcentral.
CCUACGGGAGGCAGCAGUAGGGAAUUUUCGUCAAUGGGCGCAAGCCUGAACGAGCAAUGCCGCGUGAACGAGGAAGGUCUUCGGAUCGUAAAGUUCUGUUGAAGGGGAAAAAGAGCGGAGCGAGGAAAUGGUCUCCGAUUGAUAUUACCCUUCGAGGACGUCACGGCUAACUACGUGCCAGCAGCCGCGGUAAUACGUAGGUGGCGAGCGUUAUCCGGAAUGAUUGGGCGUAAAGGGUGCGUAGGCGGCCUGCUAAGUCUGGAGUGAAAGGUACCGGCUCAACCGGUACAGGCUCUGGAAACUGGCGGGCUAGAGAGCAGGAGAGGGCGGUGGAACUCCAUGUGUAGCGGUAAAAUGCGUAGAUAUAUGGAAGAACACCAGUGGCGAAGGCGGCCGCCUGGCCUGUGACUGAUGCUGAGGCACGAAAGCGUGGGGAGCAAAUAGGAUUAGAUACCCCAGUAGUC